Molecule: non-coding RNA, 1033 nt
Organism: Pelodiscus sinensis (Chinese soft-shelled turtle)
Lineage: Eukaryota; Metazoa; Chordata; Testudines; Trionychidae
Source: RefSeq, a predicted model, not a curated record
CCCUGGAGAGGCUGGGAGCCCCGGGGCUGGAGGGGGCAGAGACCCCCUAUCUCAGCGGGUACAGGGGACCCUGCAGAAGUGUUGGGCAGUCACUGGGCCACAUCAGGCCCUUUGUGUGUAGCUCUGGGGGUCUCCCCGCACGCUGGGGAGUAUUCUCCAUCCCCGCUGCCUUCUCUUGGACGCUGCUGUGGGGAUUCGGUGCCCUGCUUCUGGCAGUGCUCAGGAGGGAGGGCCACGGCACAUUGGCUCAGCUCAGGGUGAGGAGGCCCUGGCAAGAGAAAGGAAGCUCCACUGAAAGCUUUGACCCUCUCCAUCUCUUGGCCAAGCUAAAUGACAGCCUUGCCUCCCCUGCAGCCCCUUCCAGCCAAGGAUCACAAAGAACCAGACAAAGAACCUUUGGUAUAUAUGGUUGUGACUACUUUCUUCCACUAUUUGAUCUGAGGAAGUGGGUCUGGCCCACGAAAGCUCAUCAUCUAAUAAACCAUCUUGUUAGUCUUUAAAGUGCUACAUUGUCCUGCAUUUUGCUUCAAAGAACCAGACAGACACUGGUAACUGAACCUUCAUUCUUCCCCCACAAGGCAGGGAACGUUCCUGAAUCCUGAGGCAAACUGGUGACAGAUAAGACACUAAAGCAUGAAGAAAUUUGUCUGUCUGUUCUUAACUCUGUCUGCUUGUGCUUUGCUCUGCAUCGUGGCCUGCCUGCACUUCUGCCUGCAGCUGUGUUGGGCCAGCUGUAAGCAGCUGGAGGACCAUAAACGUCCCUUGGUGAUGGUGCCUGGAGCCCUCAGCCUUAAGGGAUACAGUCGUGUUCCUGAUGGACAGGUGGGUUAAAGUUCUCGCUGUGAAUGGGUGGGGAGAAUCUGAGCUAGUGGUUAGAGCACAAAGCUGGGAGUUAGGGUUCCUGGGUUCUAUGUGCAGUGUCACCGUGUGCCGUAGGGUGAGUCACUUCACCUAGCAUUGCCUCUUUUCCACCACUAAAGAAGACAAGGUACUUACGUUCCCAAGACUUGAGGAAUGUUUGCACCAUGUUCGA